UCGUGCAUUCGUGUUUAUUCCCGCGCUGUUGCAAUUUCCUUCAAGACGCAAAUACGCCCUGUUUUUAGUUGCGAACAAGCUAUAAGCUGUGAAAUUAAUGUUGGGUUGUCUAUGCACUUGCAGGAAACGCAGCGUCAAGCUGCUGUUAAACAGAAAACGAAGGGUGUGAGUAGCCGUUUUAAGAAGAAGCAGCGAGGCGUCCUGUUUGGUGAUGCUGAGGGACGCAAAAAGACCGAGAAAGAACUUCUCAAAGAAGAAGUGAAUAUGCUGAAGGCCGAAAAUUCAAAACUUUUGGACCGAAUAAGAAUGCUCGAAAAGGCCCUAUGCAGCAAAAUUUUCGAAACAGAAAAAAACCACGUCCUGUGCGAGGGCUGCAGCCGCAAGCCAGAACAACAAGUUGCGCUUUUGCCAUUGCCAUGUGCCGCCACGGUGCAGCCGCCACGCACCGCCACAGCGACCACGGGCAGCCCUGAAGUGGCCCACACAAGUGCGAGGGAGGCCGAUUGCGUGCCCACUGACGGAGAGGUGUUUUAAAACUCUAGUGUGCUUUGUCUUAAAUGUAUAAUGCUUUGCUGUAAUGAGAAAAUGUGCACUGACAUAUUGUUGUGUGCACAUCAUCUUUAACUUGUUUUAUAGGCGCAUCUGGGCAAAGGGCCAUUCCUGAGGGCCUGUACAGCCGCCUCAUGGGCACAAAAAGCGAAACCCGCUUUGUUCGUGAGGCGGCCGUUGCCAUUUAUUCAACGGCAGGCUUAGUCGGGCGGAGUGUAACUGGAACAGCCUCUAACCGGACGAAGGGAGAGGCAAAGCCUCCCUCGGAUAAAGAAAUAUACGCUGUGUUUUCUGAUUUCUUCAACCAUUUUUAGAAAAACAAUUUUCCAACUGGAGAGGUCGAGCAAAAG
Rhipicephalus sanguineus (brown dog tick) is the source of this 899-nucleotide long non-coding RNA. RefSeq lists it as uncharacterized. Lineage: Eukaryota; Metazoa; Arthropoda; Arachnida; Ixodida; Ixodidae. The transcript is spliced from 3 exons. The record is from RefSeq and is a predicted model, not a curated record.